Molecule: long non-coding RNA, 3301 nt
Organism: Dermochelys coriacea (leatherback sea turtle)
Lineage: Eukaryota; Metazoa; Chordata; Testudines; Dermochelyidae
Exons: 3
Source: RefSeq, a predicted model, not a curated record
UUAGACAAUUGUAACUUUUCCCCCCACUGCUCUCACUUCUGAUAGACUUGCCCUGAGUUCCCUCUGUGGACAAAUAACUUGCCUUCCCCAUGCUGCUAAAAGAUGGUUCUGCAUAGAAGAGCAAAACAGAGGUCUUUUCAGUUGGGAGAGUGACGAUGGGCUAGGUACAGUAGCAGGGAUGGAAAGUAACUGCAUCCGAUUCCCCAGGGUAUUCGCACAGACUUUGACUCUUAAGGCACCAGUGUAUUCCAUUUCAUUAAGGUGCUGCCUGCAGCUGGAUACUGUGGCUUAAUAGAGAGCUACAAGAAGAGCUGUCUGGAGACCUGAGCAGCUUGUUGGGCUGGAUUUAUGGCUGUGGGCAGGCGUGUGGUUUUUGGAAGCAAUGAGCCUAUUGUGCUGUCUAAUAUCUUCCCUAGCUUGUGUUCAGUCCCAGGUGCUAAUUAAUUGAGGGCAGGUGCCUGUAAUUGCAGGUUCCCUUGCCUCUCGUAUGCUUCUCUCUGCUUAUUAAGGACACUUAAAAACUCUUGCACUGGAGGUUUGCUCAGUGACUUGUUGCUGUGUUAUUUCCUGAAGCAAAAGAUUUCUGACUGAAUAAAAUAGUAGCACCCUUCCUUUUAAAAGAGCAAAUGACAGUGCUAAGGAUGGUCCAUUUCUGAAAGAACAGACAAUAUGUUGAAUGUUGCUAUGCAGAUUGCCACACCUCUGAGAAGUCAUUUAAAGAGCUUGAGAACAGCUUUGAACACACAUUAUUUGCAUGGUUGACUUGUAUUCAUCCUGCUCCCUAAUACUUAUACUAGCUUUUUAUCCAGGUUGCUGAAAUAUUUGUGCUAUAUUUUUCCCAUAUCUGUAAUCUCCAAAGCUGUGGAGUAAGUCACGCUGCACAUAAUGCUGAAUUAGUUCAUACCUCCCUGCAGAUGGAUGGUCCAGAUUUGGCUUUAUUAAGUGUCUAGCAAGACUGGGAAUCGACUGCCUUGUUAAUUGUGAUGAGUCUUUCAUCUUCUUUAUUUUGUGUACUCGCUACAUAGAAUUGAAAUAUUCAAUACCCCGGAAAUUAGUCUAUAUGCAGAUUCCCUUUCAACAGCUGUAAAUUAAAAGCAAUGAGCAGCUGAGUAUACAGAGAAUCCAUUAAAGGCAAAUAAUGUUUAAAACAUAACUAGACCCUGUCAAGUUAGACAGGCUCUGCAACUGAUCUGUUGGUUGAUGCAGACUGUUCUAGACAAAGACUUAUAGUUCCAUGACUUUAAGCUUUUUAGUAUAGUGAUUCAGUCCUUAUAUGGUUGUACAGUAACAAGCACAUUGUUUCUGCUCAAAAAAUAAUAUCCACGAGUCUACAGUGCAUUAUUUCUACUCAGUAAAUAAUAAUAUACCCAUGCUAUGUUAUUGGGCUUUUUAAUGGGAGCCUCCAUUUGUCUCGUCUAGAGGGAAUGUGCCUGUUUUACUAAGAACUGGGCAGAAGGACUUUUCCCAAGAAAUCUAGAAAUAUCUGGAAUCUGACAAAUGUUGAUAUCCAAGCAGUUGUACAGAAUAAGAUCAACAGGACUUUCACUAGUGGCAGGCCUUGUCUAGUUAAGGUGAAAGCCUCCCUUGAAAUGGCUCCUUCUCUCAGUCUUGGAGAACUGAGACACCCCAAUUUAAAGACACCCAGUUAUUCAAACAGCCACUGUUAAGAACAUAAGAACGGCCAUACUGGGUUAGCCAAUGGUCCAGUAUCCUGUCUUCCGACAGUGGCCAAUGCCAGGUGCUUCAGAGGGCAUGAACAGAACAGGUAAUCAGCAAGUGAUCCAUGCCGUUGCCCAUUCCCAGCUUCUGCCAUACGGAGGCUAGGGACAUCAUCCCUGUUGGGUUUGAUUUCCAGUUUGCUGUGCAGCAAAAUGAUCAGAUCAGAAAAACUUUUAAAGCCUUACAGGAUCUAGAGCUUUUUCCAGCAGUGGAAGCCAAAGCUGUUAGAUUUGUUUAUAGUGAAAUCAAGUAUUGGACAGUAGGGAGCUAUUAGGAUCACUAAACUCAUGUCUUUUCUUAAGAGAACUGCCAAUGGAGGCAAUGAAGUGAAGGAAGAGUCUAACCAUUUCCUUCACUGGAGAGAAAAUGAACCUGCCAGCAUCCUAUUGCUUUCUCCUGUGUAUGUGGUCUGACAGUUUCAGACUGAUUGAGUUGUGGAUCUAUUGUAGAUUAUUGCCUAACUGAACUUUGAAUAAUGGAAAGGAUCAGGCUACCGUUGAAGAGGAGAAAGGGGCAUUCUGCCCAAUAUCAGUCAUCACAAUACUAUAAUUUGCAACCAGCAGCACCGGUUCAGUCUGUUCCCUGCUGCUUUCCACCUGAAGGAGCGAGAUGCAAAUAAUCUUUUCUGCAAAAUGAGAAGGAAAGGAGUUAAGGAUGGUGUUUGAGAGUAGGACGCUAGCAAAUUCUGUUCUAUAGCCAGGGCCUUUCCCUUCACAUUGCAGCCCUGACUCAAAGGAACUAUUGCACUGACUAGCCUUGGUGAAGAAGGGGGCACUGGCAUUUCCAGGGCCACAGGCACUCAUGUACAGAUACCAUUGUCAUCUGCAAGGACAGAACCCAGGGCGAGCCUCUAGCACUUAAAAUGAGAGGUAUGUGCACAAUCGUCAUAGGAGCUGAAGCCACCUUCAGUGCUAUCAGCAUCUAAAGCUUUGUCCCAUAGUGGCAAAAGAGAAGAGGGUCCCAGAGCAUAGCCUUGGAUUUUUAAUGAAUUACUGGAAAUCACUAUCCUGUCAUUUGGAAACAUUCUACCUUCUAUCACCUCAAAACCAAGCCAACCUAAUUGCAGCAUAUAUGGAAACUCAGGAUUAGAGAAGAGCUAUCUUGUCAAUUAUAAAGCGGGUAUUAAUGCUACUAGGAGCUAUGUUCCCUAGAUCAUUUCUUCUUUAUAGGACUGUCUAAUGCAAUUGUAUCUUUCUUAAUAUGAAAUUAAUAACAGCACUAAAACAAGAAACUUUAAAGCUUAAUAGUUGGGGUGAGGAAAGAAUGGAGAAAACGUAUCUGCUCUGUCGUAGGUACCAGCAGCUCCAUUGGGUCCACAAGUGAAUAAGAAGCACUGAAAGUGGAAGAUGUGUCCGCCUAUCCUGGGGCAUGUUUGGCAUGUGUGAGGAGGUCUCAGCAAAUCCCCGCCCCCCAAACAAAAUAAACCGUGAAAGCAAUUCUUGGAGAGCUCAGCAUCUGUUGGCAUCGGGUCACUGAAAUGAGGCCGCAGACGGCACUCCCGCUGGGCCUUGAUACAGUCCGCAGUCUCCUGGGCGAGGUCAGAGCUGGAUCUGCGGCAGCUCAGGCUGGAAUUCUGCAACAA